Molecule: ribosomal RNA, 369 nt
Filed under: uncultured bacterium
Lineage: Bacteria
Description: partial 16S ribosomal RNA
Rfam family: Bacterial small subunit ribosomal RNA
Source: RNAcentral
AAUAUUGCGCAAUGGGGGGCACCCUGACGCAGCAACGCCGCGUGAGUGAAGAAGGUCUUCGGAUUUGACGGUACCUAAGGAGGAAGCCCCGCCUAACUACGUGCCAGCAGCCGCGGUAAUACGUAGGGGGCAAGCGUUGUCCGGAAUUAUUGGGCGUAAAGGGUGCGUAGGCGGCCUUUUAAGUCAGAUGUGAAAGCCCACGGCUUAACCGUGGGACUGCAUUUGAAACUGGAGGGCUUGAGUAUCGGAGAGGGUAGUGGAAUUCCCAGUGUAGCGGUGGAAUGCGUAGAUAUUGGGAGGAACACCAGUGGCGAAGGCGACUACCUGGACGAAAACUGACGCUGAGGCACGAAAGCUAGGGGAGCAAAC